This 269-nucleotide ribosomal RNA is filed under the name uncultured prokaryote. Its description in RNAcentral is "partial 16S ribosomal RNA". It matches the Rfam family "Bacterial small subunit ribosomal RNA", at positions 524 to 792 of the family's 1533-position model. The record is from RNAcentral.
UACGUAGGUGGCAAGCGUUAUCCGGAAUUAUUGGGCGUAAAGAGCGCGCAGGUGGUUGAUUAAGUCUGAUGUGAAAGCCCACGGCUUAACCGUGGAGGGUCAUUGGAAACUGGUCGACUUGAGUGCAGAAGAGGGAAGUGGAAUUCCAUGUGUAGCGGUGAAAUGCGUAGAUAUUAGGAGGAACACCGGUGGCGAAGGCGGCUUACUGGACUGUAACUGACGCUGAGUCACGAAAGCGUGGGUAGCAAACAGGAUUAGAUACCCUGGUA